GAUGAACGCUGGCUACAGGCUUAACACAUGCAAGUCGAGGGGAAACGACGGGGGAGCUUGCUUCCCCGGGCGUCGACCGGCGCACGGGUGAGUAACGCGUAUCCAACCUGCCUCUGACUGAGGGAUAACCCGUCGAAAGUCGGCCUAAUACCUCAUGGCAUCGUCUGCGGGCAUCCAACGACGAUUAAAGAUUUCAUCGGUCAGAGAUGGGGAUGCGUCUGAUUAGCUUGUUGGCGGGGUAACGGCCCACCAAGGCGACGAUCAGUAGGGGUUCUGAGAGGAAGGUCCCCCACAAUGGAACUGCGACACAGACCAAACUCCUACGGGAGGCAGCAGUGUGGAAGAAUGGUCAAGGGGCGAGAGCCUGAACCAGCCAAGUAGCGUGCAGGAUGACGGCCCUAUGGGUUGUAAACUGCUUUUAUGCGGGGAUAAAGUGAGGGACGUGUCCUUCAUUGAAGGUACCGCAUGAAUAAGGACCGGCUAAUUCCGUG
Molecule: ribosomal RNA, 491 nt
Filed under: uncultured bacterium
Lineage: Bacteria
Description: partial 16S ribosomal RNA
Rfam family: Bacterial small subunit ribosomal RNA
Source: RNAcentral